CGCGUUUUCCAUUCACUACACAGGGCCGGCCCGUGGCAUAGGCCGUAUAGGCAAAUGCUAAGGGCGCCGUCCAUCAGGGGGCGCCACGCCAGUGCCACAAAUGUUGAAAAAAAAAAAAGUUGGUACUAUUAUUUCUAAAUACAAAAAAUAAUCCCACGUUAAUUAAAAUGCAAAGUAAAGCUUAUUUAAUAGAAAUAUUAUUUGUUACAACAUUACGCCCCCCCCUCCCCGCACGGUGCGCCCCCUCCCUUCCCGUAUCAUGGUUCCUUUUGGACGUCACCACAUCAAAAAAUCAACACAAGAUGUCAAAACGGCCAAAACUGUCAGGUGCCCAGGGAAGAAAAAAGAGAAAAGAAGAGGAGGAGAAACGAGAAAAAGACAGAGAUGCACUGUUGAAGUUUCUAAAUCCCACCCCUGGGCCAUCUACCACAUCUACCGCUGCUGCCUCCACCUCAGCAGCACAACCCACCAGUUUUGCAGCAGCAUCAAGCGGUGUUAUUGUAUUUCAUAUAUUCAUUUUUUUAUUUUUUGUAUUCAUUUAUUUAUUCAUAUAUUUUUUUAUCUUGUUAAUUAUUCUGAUUGUGAAUUUGCUUUCUUUAAGU
Molecule: long non-coding RNA, 602 nt
Organism: Haplochromis burtoni (Burton's mouthbrooder)
Lineage: Eukaryota; Metazoa; Chordata; Actinopteri; Cichliformes; Cichlidae
Exons: 2
Source: RefSeq, a predicted model, not a curated record